AGUCGAGGGGUAUGGCAGCAAUGCCAGAGACCGGCGCACGGGUGCGUAACGCGUAUGCAAUCUACCUUGUACAGGGGAAUAGCCCAGAGAAAUUUGGAUUAAUGCCCCAUAGCAUUUUUGAUAGGCAUCUAUUAGAGAUUAAAGUUCAGGCGGUACAAGAUGAGCAUGCGUCCCAUUAGCUAGUUGGUAUGGUAACGGCAUACCAAGGCAAUGAUGGGUAGGGGUCCUGAGAGGGAGAUCCCCCACACUGGUACUGAGACACGGACCAGACUCC
RNAcentral lists this ribosomal RNA (274 nucleotides) under uncultured bacterium. RNAcentral's name for it is "partial 16S ribosomal RNA". It matches the Rfam family "Bacterial small subunit ribosomal RNA", at positions 60 to 339 of the family's 1533-position model. The record is from RNAcentral.